This 1397-nucleotide small RNA is filed under the name Pan troglodytes (chimpanzee). RNAcentral's name for it is "retained intron". The record is from RNAcentral. Lineage: Eukaryota; Metazoa; Chordata; Mammalia; Primates; Hominidae.
GGCCUCAGUGGACUGGGGUAGAACCGGGAGACCUGCACGCAGGCAGGUGAGGCCCAGGUGGGUUUGGGGCCUCAGCCCUUCUUCACCCCACUCCCCCCCAGGCUGCGGGGUCCCCGCCAUCCACCCUGUGCUCAGCGGUCUGUCCAGGAUCGUGAAUUGGGAGGACGCCGUCCCCGGCUCCUGGCCCUGGCAGGUGUCCCUGCAGGACAAAACCGGCUUCCACUUCUGCGGGGGCUCCCUCAUCAGCGAGGACUGGGUGGUCACCGCUGCCCACUGCGGGGUCAGGUGAGGACCGGGCAGCCCCGGGCUCCGCUUCCAGCCCCGGUCGGGUGGGAGGGGAGCAGGGCAUGUUCUCUCACCCACAACGCUCUGCCCAGGACCUCCGACGUGGUCGUGGCUGGGGAGUUUGACCAGGGCUCUGAUGAGGAGAACAUCCAGGUCCUAAAGAUCGCCAAGGUCUUCAAGAACCCCAAGUUCAGCAUUCUGACUGUGCGCAAUGACAUCACCCUGCUGAAGCUGGCCACACCUGCCCGCUUCUCCCAGACAGUGUCCGCCGUGUGCCUGCCCAGUGCGGACGACGACUUCCCCGCGGGGACACUGUGUGCCACCACAGGCUGGGGAAAGACCAAGUACAAUGGUGAGAGGCCGCGGGGCUGCCUCUGGGGUCUGGGCUGCCUGGCUGUGGAGUCCCCCUGUGACCAUUUGGCUCUUCUUGUUUGGCUCUAAAUUCCAACAAACUCCUAACUGCCCGUUCGUUAUUGAAAAUCUUCUGAAUUUAAAAUCCCCCAAAUGCAAAUAAAAUCCAGGUCGGAUCAUGAGGAGCCUGCACAGGGAGCUUCUGAGCAGCGCCCAGCCGGGUGAGCCCUGCCCUGGCUGACCUGCCUGGAGUCGCAGCAUGGGGCUCCCACCCGGGCAGGGCCGAGGCCCCCUUGUCCCACAGGCGCUUCUGAGGCUCCAGGGGCCGUACCCAACAUCGUGGUGAUGGUGCAGGGGAGGGCAGGCGUGUCGGCCCCGGGUCUCUCCCUCCACUCUUGGCUGAGUGAGCCCAGGGGCCCUGACCCUCCUCCUGUCCUGCAGCCAACAAGACCCCUGACAAGCUGCAGCAGGCAGCCCUGCCCCUCCUGUCCAAUGCCGAAUGCAAGAAGUCCUGGGGCAGGAGGAUCACUGACGUGAUGAUCUGUGCCGGGGCCAGUGGCGUCUCCUCCUGCAAGGGUGACUCUGGAGGCCCCCUGGUCUGCCAGAAGGAUGGAGCCUGGACCCUGGUGGGCAUUGUGUCCUGGGGCAGCCGCACCUGCUCUACCACCACGCCCGCUGUGUACGCCCGUGUCACCAAGCUCAUACCCUGGGUGCAGAAGAUCCUGGCCGCCAACUGAGCCCGCAGCUCCUGCCACCCCUGC